GGCUCAAUGGUCUAGUGGUAGGAUACUCGCUUCGGGCUGACCUUGGUCCGUCUCAUCUAAUGAGAUAAUGUGAGUGGUCCCGGGUUCAAAUCCCGGUUGAGCCC
Molecule: non-coding RNA, 104 nt
Organism: Annulohypoxylon maeteangense
Lineage: Eukaryota; Fungi; Ascomycota; Sordariomycetes; Xylariales; Hypoxylaceae
Source: the annotation of a RefSeq genome assembly